GUGCCAGCAGCCGCGGUAAUACGUAGGUGGCAAGAGUUAUCCGGAAUUAUUGGGCGUAAAGCGCGCGCAGGUGGUUUCUUAAGUCUGAUGUGAAAGCCCACGGCUCAACCGUGGAGGGUCAUUGGAAACUGGGAGACUUGAGUGCAAAAGAGGAGAAGUGGAAUUCCAUGUGUAGCGGUGAAAUGCGUAGAGAUAUGGAGGAACACCAGUGGCGAAGGCGACUUUUCUGGUCUGUAACUGACACUGAGGCGCGAAAGCGUGGGGAGCAAACAGGAUUAGAUACCCUGGUAGUCC
RNAcentral lists this ribosomal RNA (294 nucleotides) under uncultured microorganism. RNAcentral describes it as "partial 16S ribosomal RNA". It matches the Rfam family "Bacterial small subunit ribosomal RNA", at positions 505 to 796 of the family's 1533-position model. The record is from RNAcentral.